RNAcentral lists this ribosomal RNA (508 nucleotides) under uncultured Acidobacteriota bacterium. RNAcentral's name for it is "bacterial SSU rRNA". It matches the Rfam family "Bacterial small subunit ribosomal RNA", at positions 13 to 529 of the family's 1533-position model. Lineage: Bacteria; Pseudomonadati; Acidobacteriota. The record is from RNAcentral.
UUGAUCCUGGCUCAGAAUCAACGCUGGCGGCAUGCCUAACACAUGCAAGUCGAGCGAGAAAGGGUAGCAAUACCUGAGUAAAGCGGCGCACGGGUGAGUUACACGUGGAUAACCUGCCUCAAAGUGGGGAAUAACACCGGGAAACCGGUUCUAAUACCGCAUAUUCUGAUGAGAUCUGUGGAUUUUGUCAGUAAAGGAGUAAUUCGCUAUGAGAGGGGUCCGCGGCUGAUUAGCUAGUUGGUGAGGUAAUGGCUCACCAAGGCAACGAUCAGUAGCCGGUCUGAGAGGACGGUCGGCCAUACUGGAACUGAGACACGGUCCAGACUCCUACGGGAGGCAGCAGUGGGGAUUUUUUCGCAAUGGGGGAAACCCUGACGAAGCAAUGCCGCGUGGAUGAUGUAGUAUUUCGGUACGUAAAAUCCUUUCGACAGGGACGAAACCGCAAGGUUUACGGUACCUGUAGAAGAAGCCCCGGCUAACUCCGUGCCAGCAGCCGCGGUAAUAAGGU